AACGCAAAUUGCGCUCUUUGGUAUUCCGAAGAGCAUGCCUGUUUGAGUGUCAUAUAGACUCAUCUACUCAGUUUAUUCUGAACUAGGUGCUUUGGACGUCUGCCAUCUUCUGGCUCGUCUUAAAUGUCUAAGUGGAAUGCGUAAUAAGUUUUCGCUCCCUCCACUCUAAUGAAUUUUUAUCUCUGACCUCAAAUCAGGUAGGACUACCCGCUGAACUUAA
This 220-nucleotide unclassified non-coding RNA is filed under the name uncultured Bulleribasidiaceae. Its description in RNAcentral is "sequence contains ITS2". The stretch from base 1 to 52 matches the Rfam family "5.8S ribosomal RNA", at positions 103 to 154 of the family's 154-position model. The record is from RNAcentral. Lineage: Eukaryota; Fungi; Basidiomycota; Tremellomycetes; Tremellales; Bulleribasidiaceae.